Molecule: ribosomal RNA, 253 nt
Filed under: uncultured bacterium
Lineage: Bacteria
Description: partial 16S ribosomal RNA
Rfam family: Bacterial small subunit ribosomal RNA
Source: RNAcentral
UACGUAGGGUGCGAGCGUUGUCCGGAAUUACUGGGCGUAAAGGGCGCGUAGGCGGUGUGUCAAGUCAGGCGUGAAAGCCCCGGGCUCAACCUGGGAACGGCGCUUGAGACUGGCACGCUCGAGUUCGGGAGAGGAUGGUGGAAUUCCCAGUGUAGAGGUGAAAUUCGUAGAUAUUGGGAAGAACACCGAUGGCGAAGGCAGCCAUCUGGACCGACACUGACGCUGAGGCGCGAAAGCGUGGGGAGCAAACAGG